UCCUUGGUGGCUCAACGGGUAGAGAAUCUGCCUGCAAUGCAGGAAACCUGGGUUCGAUCCUUGGGUUAGGAA
This 72-nucleotide transfer RNA is filed under the name Ovis aries (sheep). It matches the Rfam family "tRNA". Rfam says of the family: Transfer RNA (tRNA) molecules are approximately 80 nucleotides in length. The record is from Rfam by way of RNAcentral. Lineage: Eukaryota; Metazoa; Chordata; Mammalia; Artiodactyla; Bovidae.